Molecule: long non-coding RNA, 200 nt
Filed under: Panax ginseng (ginseng)
Lineage: Eukaryota; Viridiplantae; Streptophyta; Magnoliopsida; Apiales; Araliaceae
Description: long non-coding RNA (PGIN_LNC017840)
Source: RNAcentral
UCUAUUCCAUGCCCUGACCAUAGGAAAGUUUUCUACAUGCAUACACCACUGUUCUCUAAAACGCACGCUUUGAAUGCAAAGAAAACCUGUCUUUUACUAAUAUUCUGAGACUUCUCCUCCUGCCAAUCUCGGUAUAUUGAAAAAAGUUCCAUUAGCACAUUCAGAUUUACUAUACCUGCUUCAACCACAAGGCAAUAAAA